AUGAGUCUUUACCAGGGCAGAGUAGAGGGGGAGGAUCACCUCCCUCAACCUGCUGUCCACGCUCUUUUUAAUGCACCCCAGAAUGCUGUUGGCCUUUUUGGCCACAAGGGCACACUGCUGGCUCAUGGCCAACCUGUCGUCCACCAGGACACCCAGGUCCCUCUCUGCAGAGCUCCUCUCCAGCAGGUCAUCCCCCAACCUGUACCGGUGCAUGCGAUUAUUCCUCCCCAGAUGCAAGACUCUACACUUGCUUUUGUUAAACCUCAUCUGGUUUCUUUAUUCCCAGCUCUCCAGCCUGUCCAGGUCUCGCUGAAUGGCAGCACAGCCUUCAGGCGUGUCAGGAUUGGCCAAUCCUCCCAACUUCGUAUCAUCAGCAAACUUGCUGAGGGUGGCCACUAUCCCCUCAUCAAGGUCACUGAUGAAGAUGUUGAAGAAGACCGGACCCAGCACCGACCCCUGAAGAACACUGCUAGUUACAGGCCUCCAACCGGGCUCUGCACCACCAACGACAACCCUCUGCGCUCUGCCAGUCAGCCAGUUCUCAACCCACCUCACUGUCCACUCAUCUGUCCCACACUUCCUCAGCUUUGUUAUAAGGAUGUUGUGGGAGACAGUAUCAAAUGCCUUGCUGAAAUCAAGGUAGACUACAUCCACUGCGUUCCCCCCAUCCACACAGCCAGAGACAACAUCAUAAAAGGCUACCAGGUUGGUCAAGCACGACCUCCCUCUGGUGAACCCAUGCCGACUACUCCUGAUAACCUCCUUUUCUUCCAGCUGUCUGGAGAUGGAAUCCAGCACAAGCUGCUCCAUCACCUUUCCAGGGACAGAGGUGAGGCUGACUGGCCUAUAAUUGCCUGGAUCUUCCUUCUUGUCCUUUUUGACGACUGCAGUGACAUUGGCUAUCCUCCAGCCUUCAGGCACCUGCCCCAUUCUCCAAGACCUCUCAAAGAUGACAGAGAGCGGCUCAGCAAUCACCUCUGCCAGUUCCCUCAGCACCCGUGGAUGCACCCCAUCAGGUCCCAUGGAUUUGUGAACACUGGUGUUGCCCAGGCUCUCUCGGACCACCUCUUCCCUGACUAA
RNAcentral lists this long non-coding RNA (1080 nucleotides) under Phasianus colchicus (ring-necked pheasant). Its description in RNAcentral is "lncRNA (ENSPCLG00000000068.1)". Lineage: Eukaryota; Metazoa; Chordata; Aves; Galliformes; Phasianidae. The record is from RNAcentral.